This is a long non-coding RNA of Acinonyx jubatus (cheetah), 4114 nucleotides long. RefSeq lists it as uncharacterized. The transcript has 4 exons. The record is from RefSeq and is a predicted model, not a curated record. Lineage: Eukaryota; Metazoa; Chordata; Mammalia; Carnivora; Felidae.
GUGCGGGGGGCGGAGGAAAAGUGCGACAGCCUAUGAGAAUUCAGGGGGGAUGCCUUCAGCCAAUGAGAAGGGCGCACGGGGGGGCGCGGGCUGGGCUGCAGCGAGUGGAUCCAGCAGCGGGUGGUCGCACAGGGCUAGGGCAGCCGCUGCUGGGUGCUGGCUGCGGAACACCUAGUCCUGGCCCACGCGGCUGGGGGUAUCGUGCCGCCAGAUUGUACCGACGUCCCCCAACAAAGCACGUGACCCCCGUUUGGUGAUAAAGAGAGAGCACCGUCUUAUGAGUGGGCAUUGGGAAGCGGCCUCAGUAAGAGUGCCUUAGUUUCAACCCUGUUUCCCAAACUCCGAUCAGAAAAGGAACAUCCUCCACCAAAGCAGCCAAUCAGCAGUUCUUCUGAACUCUGGAAGUGUGCUGGAAGUCUGGAAGUGUGGGUCCGUCUCACCUCCAAGUGUAGGCUCCUCCCAGCCCAGUCUUCAUCGUGGAGCUGAGGAGCCGCUGCUCGGUCCACAGACUUAUUUAACAGAAGGCUGUUAGAGGCUCUGCUGACUCCCCGCCACGUGGGAUCUCGCCCAUGUCUUUUGUCCUAGACCUGAGUGCCCCUCUUUGGACAAAGCUGAGGCAGCGGUAGCGGAUGGAUGGAGAAAAGAAAGAAGAGGCGUAGAUGGGAAGUGGGUGCUCGGGCGCCUCUUGCUCUCUCGAGCGGCUCACAGGAGAGAGACGAAGGCCUCUUGAAGAGUCCUCACUCAGGGUGAUGGGAAUCCUGUUUCCUUUUGCUCAUUUGUGUCACAUUCUUCCAUCGGGCUGGGCAACUGACAGGUGCAUCCCUCCCCGGGCCCUUCUCUGAGUCCCCUCCCUGCCAUUUGUCUCUCACCCAGAUAUCCGGCAGACGCCACCAUCCGCGGAAGCUGAAUAUGAUUAGCAGAAACCCUUCCUGACAGCUCCAAAGAGAAUCCCUCAAAUGCAUAUUCUAUUGAGUGCAUCUCAUUGCUGCUGACAGUAGCUUUAUCAAUUAAAUUCCACAUUCCCAGUCUUUGGAGACGCCAUGAACCUCCCUACCUAAUAAAUCACAGGCCCCCAGUUAUUGUUAAAUGUCCCAUCAGUCUCUAAUAAACUCCCUGCCAACGGGGGCAGGUUAUUUAUUAUGCUGCCUGGACAAGAAUGAAUUGGGCCCCGUUCUUACAAGGGGAAGAGCAAAUGUGACGCCUUCCUCCCUAAAGACUGAGGCCGUGCUAUUAAAAGGGGCAAUUAAUCAAUGUGGGCCUUGGGCAGAGGAGAGCCUGGUCUGGAGACAGGGAGGAAGACCUGGGGUUCUUUUCCGAAAGCCUGCCGGGCCAAUGUCCAUGGCGGGAGGUGGCUGUGCAGAGUGCGUGGGCUGGGCCUUUGCGGCGGCUUCCCCACCUCCUAAUUCCUGUCUGAAAAGGUACUGAAGAUAUAAGGUCACCCCGUGGGCCAAGGGGCGCAUGUAAAAAUAGUUAUCCUCUGUUUUGGGAGGUAGCCACUUAGGAAUGAGAAGGUCAUGAAACAAAUUCUGUCCAGGUGGCCACACAUUGUUACUUGAUAAACUUUAUAUAACCUAAGUGUAUCGAUGGCGCUAGUCCACUGAGCAGAUGAACUGAAGAAUGCCGGAGGGAAGGCCCCCCUUGUCUGGGAGCAAGAACUAGGAAACACUUGCUUCAUCAGUUUGUGGGGUAAACACCACACAGGUAAGCCCUGGUACUCGGGAAGCAGUGUACCAACACCGAAAACACCCGGGAGCUAGCAGGUGUAAGACACAAGCGUGUGAAGGGCGUCCUGAAGUUCCCCGCCUCAGGUUAGAUCCCAGAUCUAGAUGAUGCUCCACGGUCUGCCAGUUAAAACCCAGACUCCUCGGCUUUGCCAUUAAUCGAGCCCCAUCCACAUUUCCAACUGUAUCUCUCUUUAUUUUAUGUAACAGUACCCCGCAUUGGGAGAGCACAGCACAGUCAUUUUCUAUUCCUUAUGGUAGCAGACAAGGUCCUUCAUAACAUGGGACCAAUAUAUCUCUGCAGCCUCAUUUCCUGGUAAUUGCUGCCAUACUUGCCUCCGUUCACACUAAAGCUCGUGGCUUCCCUAAACUAUUAUGGUUUCUCAUGCUUCCACGCCUUUGCACAAACUGUUCGCUUUGCCCAGAAUAUCUCUCUAACUUGCCUGCUUGGUGAGCUCUCUCCUUCCACCCCCACUGCCUGAUGAAACUCCUUAUCUAUCCUUCAGGAUCAGCUCAGAAAAUGAGCCCGCAGUGCUUCACAGGACUUGGGCUUGGCCUCCUGGCGCUGCUGUUUUGGCAGAUGUACUAGACUCCAGGGUAGGUAUCCUUCUCCUUGAGGGCAACGGCUGUGUCCAUAUUGGGUGUUCAGAAGAUAUCUGUUGAAAGAAUAAAGAGAAGCUUCAGAUUGAAUGCAAAUAACAUUGCCUACCCUUUGUUGCUUUGAGAUCAAAUGAGAAAAAGUAGCUGUAAAAAUGGUAGUUCUGUUCCUUCUUUCCACAUUCUCCUUACACCCACCAUGGGCCACCUUAAUGUCUAUGCUUUUAUUUACAUUGUUUUCCUCUACACCGGUGCAAAAACCUCCACUGUGGAAUGAUUGUAUGGGACCGCUUGAACCUCCACGUCCAUCCUGAGUGUAAGUUUUACUUGCUUUUCAGUGCACAGGAAUCCUUCCCUUCUCUAGCUCCCAGGUACAUUAGGUGAAGUAAGGCUUUCCAGGUAGACAGAAUAGAAUAAAAAAAGGCUGAGGUCCCAUUGAGAUUUUUCCUGAGGGGAGGCCGGGAAGCACACACAGUCUGACUCAUUGCUGUGUAUGUUACUCUCAUACCUUACCUAGUUAUUAAAUGGUGCCUUACCUCUGUGUUUUAUCUUUACAGCACUAAAAGUUACAGCCAACAACUUUAUCUAACUUUUCCAUUACUGAAGAAAAUAUUUUAUGUAUUGAUUUGUGCUUUUUAGCUGUAGCAAUACAAUUUAUUCCUAGUAACCUCACUGCAAUAUUUGUGUCCGUAAAACAUCAUAAACAAGAAACACGAUCACAGAAUGUCUAUAAAACUGGACGUGUUCUUUUCUGGAAAAGCAGUCUUUUUGUUUCUUUUGGGAUGAGAGCUGGCUUCUUUAUCGAUUGGUGUGAGUUUAUAGAAUUACUGCUAUGCGCAAUGGAGACCCAGCAAAGACUUUUGAGCAAGAUUCAGUGUUUAUUAGGCCCACCAAGGGCCUGGUGCUGGGCUGGAGAGCCUGGAGUGAAAAAAUUCCCAUCCUUGAGAAGCUUAUAGUUUUGUUGUUUUUUUUUUUAGUGUAAGGGACAGACACCUAAACAAGUAAAUAGAACCGGGUAAGAGACUGGAGUUAUUAUAGUGUGAAGUGGGAGUCUGGCAUGGGAAAUAAAAAAGUUUGUUAAAAGGAUCUAGGGGCACCUGGGUGGCUCAGUCGGUUAAACAUCUGACUACGGCUCAGGUCAUGAUCUCGAGGUUCACAAGUUUGAGCCCCCAGUCAAGCUCUGUGCUGACAGCUCAGAGCCUGGAGACUGCCUCAGAUUCUGUCUCCCUCGCUCUCUGCCCCUCCCCUGCUCAUGUUCAAAUGCUCUCUCUCUCUCUAAAAAAAAAGUAAAUAAAAAUAAUAAUAAUAAAAAAAAGGAACAGGAUCUGAAGCUGGACCCAAACAACCUAUGGUACACACUUAAGAAUGAUUACUCCAGUACUUGUGGAGUGAGUGGCUGGGAGAGAGAAGAAAAGGGACAGGGGACUAUUCAGAAGGUUGUUUCAAUAGCUAGGCUGACAAAGGGGCUUAAAGUAGGACAAAUCCUAUGGAGACUGGACAGAGGAAUGAAUGAGGUACAUAGAGGCAAAAUUACCUGCCCUCAGGUAAACUGUAAGAAAAGGGAGAGUGAUGGUAGAUGGUAGAGUGCCCCAGUGGGGCACCUGGGUGGCUCAGUCGUUUUAAGCAUCCGGCUUCGGCUCAGGUCGUGAUCUCGCGGUCCAUGAGUUUGAGCCCUGCGUUGGGCUCUGUGCUGACAGCUCAGAACCUGGAGCCUGCUUCUGAUUCUGUGUCUCCCUCUCUCUCUGACCCUCCCCCCAUUCAUGCUCUCUCUCUGUCUCAAAAAUAAAUAAAUGUUA